UAGGAUAUUGCUGCUCUAAAUGAGGAGAAAAAUCAUGGAUCAAAUUUUGAACAAAAUAUGAAUCGAUGAAUGACUAAGAGUCUAAUUUAAUCUAAUUUUGGAUAAAGAUAAACGUUUGCGGAACUAGAUCGCAGAAAUGCCGUGCUCCAAACGUCGGGGUAGCCAUACAUGAUGAACGCGGAGGAGGCAAACGGUGUCCGCAAGAACAAGUUUGAGAACAAGAAGAAGGGUCGCGAAGGCGCACGGCUGCGAGGACAUUCGUCGACGUCGCCGUCCAUCGUGGAUCCGCCGUGGAUGAACCUGCGAUCGCGGCCCAAUUAAAAGAAAAAAAAGAAGGAAGAUCGGACCGAUUACCCUCAAAGAGGGACGCAAGAAUAAAGCGAAGGACGCCAAAGAGCGGGACCGGGAGACCGGCACGGAACCGGCGAGGAGUUGUAACGCGAGAACGAGAGAUCGGCACGGGCG
Molecule: long non-coding RNA, 465 nt
Organism: Pogonomyrmex barbatus (red harvester ant)
Lineage: Eukaryota; Metazoa; Arthropoda; Insecta; Hymenoptera; Formicidae
Source: RefSeq, a predicted model, not a curated record